RNAcentral lists this transfer RNA (63 nucleotides) under Strongylocentrotus purpuratus (purple sea urchin). It matches the Rfam family "tRNA", at positions 1 to 61 of the family's 71-position model. From Rfam's summary of the family: Transfer RNA (tRNA) molecules are approximately 80 nucleotides in length. Their secondary structure includes four short double-helical elements and three loops (D, anti-codon, and T loops). Further hydrogen bonds mediate the characteristic L-shaped molecular structure. tRNAs have two regions of fundamental functional importance: the anti-codon, which is responsible for specific mRNA codon recognition, and the 3' end, to which the tRNAs corresponding amino acid is attached (by aminoacyl-tRNA synthetases). tRNAs cope with the degeneracy of the genetic code in two manners: having more than one tRNA (with a specific anti-codon) for a particular amino acid; and 'wobble' base-pairing, i.e. permitting non-standard base-pairing at the 3rd anti-codon position. The record is from Rfam by way of RNAcentral. Lineage: Eukaryota; Metazoa; Echinodermata; Echinoidea; Camarodonta; Strongylocentrotidae.
GGCAUUGUGGCUCAGUGGUUAGAGCGCCCGCCUCAUGAACGGGAGGUAAUGAAUUCGAACCCC